Molecule: long non-coding RNA, 351 nt
Organism: Musa acuminata AAA Group (dessert banana)
Lineage: Eukaryota; Viridiplantae; Streptophyta; Magnoliopsida; Zingiberales; Musaceae
Exons: 3
Source: RefSeq, a predicted model, not a curated record
AGAGAAGCGCCUUGCAAUAGGAAAUGGAGAUAAGGAGAGGGUUAUCGUAGUAUAGAUAUACUUCUUUGUGUAGACUGAGGUGAUGCCAUUGGAGCGGCCAUACCAUCCUCAACAAAUUAAGCAUAAAAGCUAAGGAGGUGAAGGAGCUGAUUUUGGAUGAUUCACUUUGGCUUUGAAAAAUACACAAAAGUAUUUGGGUGUCUUACGUUGAAUGUGGUGAAAGCUAUUGUGCUUUAUGCUAGUUUUAGAAUGGAACAAAGAGAAACAUGAAGAUGAGAAGAGAAGCAAAAUCCAAACACAUUGUGGUCCAUCCGUAUAGGAAAGCUUAGACAUGUGAACACUGGGUGUAGC